AGGAUUAACGCUGGCGGCGUGCAUGAAACAUGCAAGUCGAGCGCGGUGUGAUGCGGGGUAACCCAAUUCACAUCUAGCGGCGAACGGGUGAGUAACACGUGAGCAACCUACCUUUGAGUUGGGGAUAGCCCUGGGAAACCAGGAUUAAUACCCGAUGUGGUCACAACAGGACAUCCUGAUGUGAGUAAAGCCGUAAGGCACUCGAUGACGGGACCGCGUCCCAUUAGUUAGUUGGUGGGGUAAUGGCCUACCAAGACUCCGAUGGGUAGCUGGUUUGAGAGAGCGACCAGCCACACUGGGACUGAGAAACGGCCCAGACUCCUACGGGAGGCAGCAGUGAGGAAUUUUCCGCAAUGGGCGAAAGCCUGACGGAGCGACGCCGCGUGUGGGAAGAAGGCCUUCGGGUCGUAAACCACUGUCGAAGGGGACGAUAUUGACGGUACCCUUGGAGGAAGCCCCGGCUAACUACGUGCUAGCAGCCGC
This 483-nucleotide ribosomal RNA is filed under the name uncultured bacterium. RNAcentral's name for it is "SSU rRNA". It matches the Rfam family "Bacterial small subunit ribosomal RNA", at positions 26 to 518 of the family's 1533-position model. The record is from RNAcentral.